GAUGAACGCUAGCGGCAGGCUUAACACAUGCAAGUCGAGGGGUAGAUUACUUCGGUAAUUGAGACCGGCGCACGGGUGCGUAACGCGUAUACAAUCUACCUUUUACAGAGGGAUAGCCCCAGAGAAAUUUGGAUUAAUACCCUCAUAGUAUUUUCGAAUCGCAUGAUUUGAUUAUUAAAGUUCCAACGGUAAAAGAUGAGUAUGCGUCCCAUUAGCUAGAUGGUAAGGUAACGGCUUACCAUGGCUACGAUGGGUAGGGUCCUGAGAGGGAGAUCCCCCCACACUGGUACUGAGACACGGACCAGACUCCUACGGGAGGCAGCAGUGAGGAAUAUUGGACAAUGGGGCGCAAGCCUGAUCCAGCCAUGCCGCGUGCAGGAAGAAGGUCCUAUGGAUUGAAACUGCUUUUAUACAGGAAGAAACACCUCUACGUGUAGAGACUUGACGGUACUGUAUGAAUAAGGAUC
This 467-nucleotide ribosomal RNA is filed under the name uncultured bacterium. RNAcentral describes it as "bacterial SSU rRNA". It matches the Rfam family "Bacterial small subunit ribosomal RNA", at positions 28 to 494 of the family's 1533-position model. The record is from RNAcentral.